AUUGAACGCUGGCGGCAUGCCUUACACAUGCAAGUCGAACGGCAGCACGGGAGCAAUCCUGGUGGCGAGUGGCGAACGGGUGAGUAAUAUAUCGGAACGUGCCCAGUCGUGGGGGAUAACGCAGCGAAAGCUGUGCUAAUACCGCAUACGAUCUAAGGAUGAAAGCGGGGGAUCCCAAGACCUCGCGCGAUUGGAGCGGCCGAUAUCAGAUUAGCUAGUUGGUGGGGUAAAGGCCCACCAAGGCGACGAUCUGUAGCUGGUCUGAGAGGACGAGCAGCCACACUGGAGCUGAGACACGGUCCAGACUCCUACGGGAGGCAGCAGUGGGGAAUUUUGGACAAUGGGCGCAAGCCUGAUCCAGCAAUGCCGCGUGCAGGAUGAAGGCCUUCGGGUUGUAAGCUGCUUUUGUACGGAACGAAACGGCCCUUUCUAAUACAGGGGGCUAAUGACGGUACCGUAAGAAUAAGCACCGGCUAACUACGUGCCAGCCGCCGCGGUAA
RNAcentral lists this ribosomal RNA (500 nucleotides) under uncultured bacterium. RNAcentral's name for it is "partial 16S ribosomal RNA". It matches the Rfam family "Bacterial small subunit ribosomal RNA", at positions 30 to 523 of the family's 1533-position model. The record is from RNAcentral.